RNAcentral lists this ribosomal RNA (253 nucleotides) under uncultured bacterium. RNAcentral's name for it is "partial 16S ribosomal RNA". It matches the Rfam family "Bacterial small subunit ribosomal RNA", at positions 524 to 776 of the family's 1533-position model. The record is from RNAcentral.
UACGUAGGGUGCAAGCGUUGCCCGGAUUUAUUGGGCGUAAAGGGCGCGUAGGCGGCUCUGCACGUCCGUUGUGAAACCGCCCGGCUCAACUGGGCGGGGUCAGCGGAUACGGCAGAGCUUGAGCAAGCUAGGGGGCAAUGGAAUUCCCGGUGUAGUGGUGGAAUGCGUAGAUAUCGGGAGGAACACCAGUGGCGAAGGCGGUUGCCUGGGGCUUUGCUGACGCUGAUGCGCGAAAGCGUGGGGAGCGAUCCGG